UUGGAGGGCAAGUCUGGUGCCAGCAGCCGCGGUAACUCCAGCUCCAAUAGCGUAUAUUAAAGUUGUUGCGGUUAAAAAGCUCGUAGUUGAAUCUGUGUCCCACACUGUCGGUUCACCGCUCGCGGUGUUCAACUGGCAUGUCUGUGGGACGUCCUACCGGUGGGCGCAGCCCGUCAAAAGGCGGCCCAACUCAAAAUCCUACCACGGUGCUCUUCACCGAGUGUCGAGGUGGGCCGGUACGUUUACUUUGAACAAAUUAGAGUGCUUAAAGCAGGCUCAUUCGCCUGAAUAUUCUGUGCAUGGAAUAAUGGAAUAGGACCUCGGUUCUAUUUUGUUGGUUUUCGGAACUCCGAGGUAAUGAUUAAUAGGGACAACUGGGGGCAUUCGUAUUGCGACGUUAGAGGUGAAAUUCUUGGAUCGUCGCAAGACGGACAGAAGCGAAAGAAAUGUGUUUUCAUCAAUCAAGAACGAAAGUUAGAGGUUCGAAGGCGAUCAGAUACCGCCCUAGUUCUAACCAUAAACGAUGCCAGCUAGCGAUCCGCCGAAGUUCCUCCGAUGACUCGGCGGGCAGCUUCCGGGAAACCAAAGCUUUUGGGUUCCGGGGGAAGUAUGGUUGCAAAGCUGAAACUUAAAGGAAUUGACGGAAGGGCACCACCAGGAGUGGAGCCUGCGGCUUAAUUUGAC
Molecule: ribosomal RNA, 684 nt
Filed under: Stenoponia americana
Lineage: Eukaryota; Metazoa; Arthropoda; Insecta; Siphonaptera; Ctenophthalmidae
Description: SSU rRNA
Rfam family: Eukaryotic small subunit ribosomal RNA
Source: RNAcentral